AUGGCGCUCGCCUUCGACGAGUACGGGCGGCCCUUCAUCAUCCUCCGGGAGCAGGAGAAGAAGUCGCGGCUGCAGGGGCUCGACGCGCAGAAGGCCAACAUCGCCGCCGGCAAGUCCGUAGCGCGCAUCCUCCGCACCUCCCUCGGGCCCAAGGGCAUGGACAAGAUGCUCCAGUCCCCCGACGGCGACGUCACCAUCACAAACGAUGGGGCGACGAUCCUGGAGCUAAUGGAUGUUGACAACCAGAUUGCGAAGCUCAUGGUGGAGUUGUCCCGCAGUCAAGACUAUGACAUUGGAGAUGGUACCACCGGGGUUGUGGUCCUGGCUGGGUCGCUCCUGGAGCAGGCUGAGAAGCUGCUGGAACGUGGUAUUCACCCAAUAAGGAUCGCCGAAGGUUAUGAGAUGGCGUCGAGGAUAGCUGUUGAUCACCUUGAAAGCAUCUCCACGAAAUAUGAGUUCAGUGCUACAGACAUAGAGCCUUUGGUGCAGACCUGCAUGACAACUUUGUCCUCAAAGAUUGUUAGCCGUUGUAAGAGGGCUCUAGCUGAGAUUGCUGUCAAAGCAGUCCUUGCGGUCGCUGAUUUGGAAAGGAAGGAUGUAAAUUUGGACUUGAUUAAGGUGGAAGGUAAGGUUGGUGGGAAGCUCGAGGAUACUGAGCUAGUACAAGGAAUCAUUGUUGACAAAGAUAUGAGCCACCCCCAAAUGCCAAAGAGAAUUGAGGAUGCUCACAUUGCCAUUCUGACCUGCCCAUUUGAGCCCCCGAAGCCUAAGACAAAGCAUAAGGUUGACAUUGACACUGUAGAGAAAUUCCAGACACUGCGUGGGCAAGAGCAGAAAUACUUCGAUGACAUGGUUCAGAAAUGCAAGGAUGUUGGUGCAACCCUAGUUAUUUGUCAAUGGGGGUUUGAUGAUGAAGCCAAUCACUUACUAAUGCAAAGGGAGCUGCCGGCUGUCAGAUGGGUUGGUGGUGUUGAAUUAGAAUUAAUUGCCAUUGCGACAGGAGGGAGGAUUGUUCCAAGGUUCCAAGAGUUGACUACCGAAAAGCUUGGGAAGGCUGGAUUAGUCAGAGAGAAGUCAUUUGGAACAACAAAAGAUCGGAUGCUAUACAUCGAGAAGUGUGCCAAUUCCAAAGCUGUAACUAUUUUCAUCCGUGGUGGCAACAAAAUGAUGAUUGAGGAGACCAAGCGAAGUAUUCAUGAUGCUCUAUGUGUUGCAAGGAAUCUGAUCAUCAACAACUCAAUUGUGUAUGGUGGUGGCUCAGCAGAAAUAUCUUGCUCAAUUGCUGUUGAUGCUGCAGCAGAUCGGCAUCCUGGAGUUGAGCAGUAUGCAAUCAGGGCAUUUGCUGAUGCUUUGGAUGCCAUUCCACUAGCUUUAGCUGAAAACAGUGGUUUGCCGCCUAUUGAUACUCUCACUGUCGUAAAAUCCCAACAUGUCAAGGAGAACAAUUCCCGCUGUGGCAUUGAUUGCAAUGAUGUUGGUACCAACGACAUGAAAGAACAGAAUGUUUUCGAGACUCUGAUCGGCAAGCAGCAACAGAUCUUGCUGGCAACACAGGUGGUCAAGAUGAUCCUCAAGAUUGAUGAUGUCAUAACGCCUUCUGAGUAUUGA
RNAcentral lists this ribosomal RNA (1608 nucleotides) under Triticum aestivum (bread wheat). RNAcentral describes it as "partial small subunit ribosomal RNA". The record is from RNAcentral. Lineage: Eukaryota; Viridiplantae; Streptophyta; Magnoliopsida; Poales; Poaceae.